AGUGAACGCUGGCGGUAGGCCUAACACAUGCAAGUCGAACGGCAGCACAGUAAGAGCUUGCUCUUACGGGUGGCGAGUGGCGGACGGGUGAGGAAUACAUCGGAAUCUACUUUUUCGUGGGGGAUAACGUAGGGAAACUUACGCUAAUACCGCAUACGACCUACGGGUGAAAGCAGGGGAUCUUCGGACCUUGCGCGAUUGAAUGAGCCGCUGUCGGAUUAGCUAGUUGGCGGGGUAAAGGCCCACCAAGGCGACGAUCCGUAGCUGGUCUGAGAGGAUGAUCAGCCACACUGGAACUGAGACACGGUCCAGACUCCGACGGGAGGCAGCAGUGGGGAAUAUUGGACAGUGGGCGCAAGCCUGAUCCAGCCAUACCGCGUGGGUGAAGAAGGCCUUCGGGUUGUAAAGCCCUUUUGUUGGGAAAGAAAAGCAGCAGGUUAAUACCCCGCUGUGCUGACGGUACCCAAAGAUAAGCACCGGCUAACUUCGUG
Molecule: ribosomal RNA, 491 nt
Filed under: uncultured bacterium
Lineage: Bacteria
Description: partial 16S ribosomal RNA
Rfam family: Bacterial small subunit ribosomal RNA
Source: RNAcentral